This 78-nucleotide microRNA precursor is filed under the name Jaculus jaculus (lesser Egyptian jerboa). RNAcentral's name for it is "miRNA (ENSJJAG00000004553.1)". The record is from RNAcentral. Lineage: Eukaryota; Metazoa; Chordata; Mammalia; Rodentia; Dipodidae.
UGAGGGGCUGGGGGUGUGGCUCAGAAGCAGAGUGCCUGCCUAUCACUUGUGAAGCCCUGAGUUCCAUCCCCAGUGCCU